AUGGGAACGCGAAGAACCUUACCUAGACUUGACAUCUCCUGAAUAGUGUAGAGAUACAUGAAGCCCUUCGGGGCAGGAAGACAGGUGGUGCAUGGUUGUCGUCAGCUCGUGUCGUGAGAUGUUGGGUUAAGUCCCGCAACGAGCGCAACCCUUAUUACUAGUUGCUACCAUUAAGUUGAGCACUCUAGUGAGACUGCCCGGGUUAACCGGGAGGAAGGCGGGGAUGACGUCAAAUCAUCAUGCCCCUUAUGUCUAGGGCAACACACGUGCUACAAUGGUGAGUACAGAUAGAUGCGAUACCGCAAGGUGGAGCCAAACUCUAAAACUCAUCCCAGUUCGGAUUGUAGGCUGCAACUCGCCUACAUGAAGUUGGAGUUGCUAGUAAUCGCGAAUCAGAAUGUCGCGGUGAAUACGUUCCCGGGUCUUGUACAC
This 432-nucleotide ribosomal RNA is filed under the name uncultured bacterium. RNAcentral's name for it is "bacterial SSU rRNA". It matches the Rfam family "Bacterial small subunit ribosomal RNA", at positions 954 to 1388 of the family's 1533-position model. The record is from RNAcentral.